RNAcentral lists this ribosomal RNA (256 nucleotides) under uncultured bacterium. Its description in RNAcentral is "partial 16S ribosomal RNA". It matches the Rfam family "Bacterial small subunit ribosomal RNA", at positions 524 to 777 of the family's 1533-position model. The record is from RNAcentral.
GACGGAGGGUGCUAGCGUUGUUCGGAAUCACUGGGCGUAAAGGGCGCGUAGGCGGCCGCCCGCGUCGGGACGUGAAAGCCCGGGGCUCAACCCCGGAACGGCGUCCGAGUACGGGGCGGCUCGAGGCCGGGAGAGGGGGGUGGAAUACCCAGUGUAGAGGUGAAAUUCGUAGAUAUUGGGUGGAACAUCGGUGGCGAAGGCGGCUCACUGGCCCGGUACUGACGCUGAGGCACGAAAGCGUGGGGAGCAAACAGGG